GAUGUUGGGUUAAGUCCCGCAACGAGCGCAAUCCCUAUUCUUAGUUGCCAUCAGGUUAUGCUGGGGACUCUAAGAAGACUGCCUGCGCAAGCAGAGAGGAAGGAGGGGACGAUGUCAAGUCAUCAUGGCCCUUACGCCCUGGGCUACACACGUGCUACAAUGGGAGGUACAGAGGGUCGCGAGCUAGCAAUAGUGAGCCAAUCUCAAAAAGCCUCUCUCAGUUCGGAUUGAGGUCUGCAACUCGACCUCAUGAAGUUGGAAUCGCUAGUAAUCGCGUAUCAGCAAUGACGCGGUGAAUACGUUCCCGGGCCUUGUACACACCGCCCGUCAAGCCAUGGAAGCCGG
Molecule: ribosomal RNA, 345 nt
Filed under: Pseudo-nitzschia fraudulenta
Lineage: Eukaryota; Bacillariophyta; Bacillariophyceae; Bacillariales; Bacillariaceae
Description: partial Bacterial small subunit ribosomal RNA
Rfam family: Bacterial small subunit ribosomal RNA
Source: RNAcentral